UGCCCAGCAAUUCCUGUCUCUACCUCCUCGCGGUACCGGCAAGAAACUAUGAGCAACCUUAGGGAAGAUCGGAUAACCAACCCCGGUGGGAACUUUGGUCGUAGGCUGACAGGGAAGG
Molecule: non-coding RNA, 118 nt
Organism: Aedes albopictus (Asian tiger mosquito)
Lineage: Eukaryota; Metazoa; Arthropoda; Insecta; Diptera; Culicidae
Source: Rfam